Molecule: non-coding RNA, 130 nt
Organism: Caenorhabditis elegans
Lineage: Eukaryota; Metazoa; Nematoda; Chromadorea; Rhabditida; Rhabditidae
Source: Ensembl
ACUAAUAAAACUGCAGUUUCCUGAACGGAAUACCUGGCAAAUUGUGGGUCACAGCGGGGCGGUGAAGCAACGCCUUGCCGUUUCUAAUCGGACUCCGUCUCGCGGCAGUAAAUGUUUUGGCCCAAUCUAA